This 496-nucleotide ribosomal RNA is filed under the name uncultured bacterium. RNAcentral's name for it is "partial 16S ribosomal RNA". It matches the Rfam family "Bacterial small subunit ribosomal RNA", at positions 28 to 507 of the family's 1533-position model. The record is from RNAcentral.
GAUGAACGCUGGCGGCGUGCCUAAUACAUGCAAGUCGAGCGAACAGACGAGGAGCUUGCUCCUCUGACGUUAUCGGCGGACGGGUGAGUAACACGUGGAUAACCUACCUAUAAGACUGGGAUACUUCGGGAAACCGGAGCUAAUACCGGAUAAUAUAUUGAACCGCAUGGUUCAAUAGUGAAAGACGGUUUUGCUGUCACUUAUAGAUGGAUCCGCGCCGCAUUAGCUAGUUGGUAAGGUAACGGCUUACCAAGGCAACGAUGCGUAGCCGACCUGAGAGGGUGAUCGGCCAGCCUGGAACUGAGACACGGUCCAGACUCCUGCGGGAGGAAGCAGUAGGGAAUCUUCCGCAAUGGGCGAAAGCCUGACGGAGCAACGCCGCGUGAGUGAUGAAGGUCUUCGGCUCGUAAAACUCUGUUAUUAGGGAAGAAGAAAUGUGUAAGUAACUAUGCACGUCUUGACGGUACCUAAUCAGAAAGCCACGGCUAACUACGUG